CGGAAAAAAACAGAUGCCACACUCACAAGUGAUUUUUUUUUUUUAAUUUUCUUAAAAAAGCCCCUAAAUUCUAUGGCUUCAAGGAAGCGUCAGAGAAACGUAAAUGCCAUUUCUGUACACUUUGUAAAGCAAGAACUACGCCUGAAUGACCACCACCUUGGAAGUGGGCACCUCGCCCACCCAGCAGUUUCCCGGGUCCUGCAGGGGUCGCCACCUGGCUCUGCGGCUGCCCCACCAGCAACCAGCAACACCUGCGGGUCGCAGGGCUUUAAGCGAUCUGUCUCCCGCAGCUGUGCCCCACUGGCGGGCGCGAGACCAGAAGCCCCAGCUGCAGCUGGCGCAGUGAGGGCCCAGCCGGCCCAGAUCCCAGGCAGGGGCAGUGGACACCCACCCAGGGGCCGGGGUGUCUCCGGGAGCAGGUGCACCCUCUGGCACAGGGCUGCCUCCAGCCGAGCUUUGGUGCAGCAUUUUGGUUGGGGGGCUGGCUCCAGCCGGACUGCGCCCCGCCCCGCCUUCCCCUUUGGUCUGGGGUUGGACCGAGCCGGUCUCAUCCCACAGCAGUGCCAGGGUCCCCUCGUGGGCAGCGCCUCCAGGGCUGGGCCUGGCCCUGCCCCUGCCCCUGCCCCCUCGAGGAAAUGGCCUUUGGAUCAAGGGAGACAAAAUGGACUUCAUGAGGCUAACGGGCGGCGCAGCAUCCAGCCCGGUCUCGCUACUCACUCGGCAGACGGGGAGGGCAGCGGGCCUCUGGGUUCCUUUGUUUCUUGUUUAAAUAGUUAAUGCUCUUGGAGGAGAGGACUAGACACAGGUGUAGAAAUUUCGGCCAAAGUCUUACGUGAAGGAAGGGACCCACGUCUGGGCCAGGCGGCCCUGCAGUCUAACUGGGGCUGCAGCUAGUCGCUGGCCGGCCUGUAGGUGGCCCAUGGCCUCGGGGACAAGCUGACCCGAGGGCAACAUCGAGGACAGUCCCAUGCCAAGAGCGCCUGGGUCACUUGUGCCGCUGCAGUGAUUUUCUCUUCCUCCUCUUGAAGAAACAGCAG
Molecule: long non-coding RNA, 1037 nt
Filed under: Heterocephalus glaber (naked mole-rat)
Lineage: Eukaryota; Metazoa; Chordata; Mammalia; Rodentia; Bathyergidae
Description: lncRNA (ENSHGLG00100043496.1)
Source: RNAcentral